Molecule: ribosomal RNA, 460 nt
Filed under: uncultured bacterium
Lineage: Bacteria
Description: partial 16S ribosomal RNA
Rfam family: Bacterial small subunit ribosomal RNA
Source: RNAcentral
CCUACGGGUGGCAGCAGUGAGGAAUAUUGGUCAAUGGACGGAAGUCUGAACCAGCCAAGCCGCGUGCAGGAAGAAGGCUCUAUGAGUUGUAAACUGCUUUUGUAAAAGGGUAAACCUGAAGACGUGUAUGCAGCUGAAAGUACGGUACGAAUAAGGAUCGGCUAACUCCGUGCCAGCAGCCGCGGUAAUACGGAGGAUCCAAGCGUUAUCCGGAUUUAUUGGGUUUAAAGGGUGCGUAGGCGGCUUGAUAAGUUAGAGGUGAAAUGUCCGAGCUUAACUCGGGAACUGCCUCUAAUACUGUUGAUCUCGAGCGUAGCUGCGGUAGGCGGAAUGUAUGGUGUAGCGGUGAAAUGCUUAGAUAUCAUGCAGAACACCGAUUGCGAAGGCAGCUUACCAAUCUAUAUCUGACGUUGAGGCCCGAAAGCGUGGGGAGCAAACAGGAUUAGAUACCCUGGUAGUC